UCCUUUUCCAACCAUUUUUUAAUUCACUUUCGAUGCACAAUUCAUGUUUCACACACUUGCAAACAUAUUUUUGAGCCCACUGUUGGCUUCUUUCCAUGCUUGAAUCAAUCACAUCCUAAAAUUACCCCUUUAUAUUGGAAAGUGUUAAACUGGAAAGGCUAACCAGUUGCCCUAUGAACAAGUCAGGACCAUGUCUGUCUGCCUGGAGGGAACCUGAGAGCAGGAAAAUCUCUGUAAAAGUUUCUUUGCAGAGUUACAAUGAGGGUCUAAUCUCCUGCCUUUAGGUGCACAAGCAGGAGGAGCUCUUAAAAAAUUAAUGUUUGCAUAAUUUCAUUAAAAAUAGGAGCCCUACAAAACCAAUCAACAGUUUUGAAGGGCUUCUCAUAGCACUAACUGUCAACUGGGUAUCAAUAAUACACAAAUAUUUAUUAAGAGCAUAUAUUACCUUAAAUUAUACCUUUUUAUAUGGAUUUGAGCUUUUCCCUGCCGGGUUUGCAGCUCAGCCCUGUUUGAGUGCCUGAGAACCAGAUGGGGUGUGGGAGCAAAAGCAGAAAAACUACAUAAUGGAAACCAGGUUUAAAUAAAUGCAAUGACAUAAUCUGUACAGUUCUUGGCAGAAAAGAGCAAAUUUGUGCUUUUCAUAGCCGCUUUUUCAAUAAGCUGUAAGUUUCCCUUUUAAGUAAUGGUUGUAACAAACAGUUCUGAUUCCUCUCCUAUUAAAGUCAGUAACAGACAUCCGCUUAGCUUCCACCAAAGCACCCAGCUGUGAAGUAUUGCCACCUCGCAUGAACCAAGACUCCCUGAAUAAUGUUUCUCUCCUCGCUCCAGCCAACAUCUGGUAUUAAGAAACACAGCCUUCAUUUAGAAAAGGUGCUGGUAUAAGUGCCAGUAUACAUGGGAAGAUCACAUAGAAAACCUUGGAAAUUUACACUCUAAAAACACUGAGGGAAAAGUGCCUAAUCUGUUCAUCUUUAUUAUUUCUAGGCUGAGGACCAAGGUAGAAGAGAGAACUGAGAAAAUUCAUUGUUUCAAAUUGCCCAGGACUGACAAUAUUGUUAUUGGAUUUUAGGAUUCUUCUGCUCCUUUUGCAGUCAAGCAAUAAAAAUAUGUAUUUGGCACAAUUCCCUUAGACACACUUGGAAAAUAAAAUCUGUAUUAUUUUAUGCCAGAUGUGCAGGACACUGAAAAAUAAACAGAAGAUAAUGGGACAACUCUAAUGGUUUGGUAUUUACAGGAAAAACAACCCAGAGCGAUGUCUGUAUAAUAUUUAAUGGCAAAUCAUAGUCUCUAACAUCAUUAUAUUAUUCUGUUACAGUUCUUUCACACAGUGUAAAAUACAGUAACUGUAUUUGAAAAAUCCUAAUUAAAAGAGGAACACUCUGUGACAGCAGAAAUAACUGAAGGGAACACGGAAAUACUGUUCUAAUUGCCAAGUGUUAUCUAUCCAUCUAAACUCAUCACACACCACAUUUAGCCCUUUGUUUGCAGCAAAAUCAUGGACCCAGACCUGGGGUAGCAUACAUUUCCUAAUCAUUCCAGUUUACACCCCAUAUUAUAGGCAACACAGCAAACUGUGGUCCAACACCCUGGGGAGAUUGCUCCCAUCUUACAUUGGUCAGGAUUUGCUUUAUGUGUUAAACCAUGAGGAUUUUAUGUGUUAAACCAUGAGGAUUUACAGUGCUUCCAACCAGGAUAAAAGCAAGCAGCAGGAAGGAGACGGUUGGGUGGCACUUCCCAACUGCAUUUUAUCUACAGGAGCCCUCAGAACCCUCCCAAAAGCUGUGUAUCAGCAUCCCAGCUCUUGGGGCAGAAGGUGAAUUAAGUAAAAGCACUCCUUAAGCCUUAGUGUUUAUCUAAACGUGGCUUUAACUUUAAACCUCUCAGCUUUGUGGUUGCCUUUUUAUUCACGUUCACUUUUCCCCUUGGCUCUUCUUGAAUAUACUACUAUGAUUUCCAGCUUAUCCUUUACAGAAUAUAUAUAUGUAUUUCAUAUAUUUAGCUAAAUGCGCCAUUUUUUAUCCCUUUUGACCGUUGGUGCAUCAUCACCGACCCACUCACACCAGCAAAGAACCUGACCCGAUAUAUUUUCUCUCUAGGUGUCUAUUAAACAGCAGUAUGAUUCUGUAAAGCAAGGAGGUAGGUAGUAAACUGAUCCUAGAAAAGAUAAACUUGUGAAAAGGCGCACUGUGCUGCGACAGGGGCUGCAGUGUGACACCCUCACAGGCAGUAUUUCUGUAUUUUUCUUCUGGAAAAGCUACCUCAGGACAUGUGAACUGGCGUUUUUGGCUCUCAGCAUCAAGUUUCCAUCCUUCCCAGAGGGGAAACUUGCUUGAGGGUAUUUUUUUGUUAAUUGUUACUUAUUACCAGAGUCUAAAGUAUCAUUUAAUAACUGACUGAUGCUGUACCUUUUAUCCAUGUGCUCACAGCUGUCCCUAGAACAGGCCAUAUAGCACCUCUUUGCCACUUAAAAAACUCCCUAAGCUAAGGGAUGCAUUUACAGCUCAAGUGUGCCCAGGGUACUUUAAGAGUUGGGAGUUAAACAGUAUUAAAAUCCCCUAAAAUAGUAGUGUCAUCAAAAAUGUUGGGGGGAAAUUUGGCUGUAAAGCUUUGGUAAGCAGUUCCUGAGGAACAUGUUUACUAAAAGCACAUCCUCAAAAGUGUUUCAUGCUGUUCGCUUCACCAUCUCAAGGCAAGGAACAGUGCUGCUGCUUCUUGGCAGAAGUUUUCUCCCGAUUCCCAGCUGGAUUUUUGGCUGCUGUGGCGAACA
This is a long non-coding RNA of Strigops habroptila (Kakapo), 2767 nucleotides long. The record is from Ensembl. Lineage: Eukaryota; Metazoa; Chordata; Aves; Psittaciformes; Psittacidae.